CAUGGGAACUCCCCAAUUUAGAGCUGCAAUGGCCUGUAUUCGCGAGUUAAACUCUAGAGGCUAGUGAGGAGACGAUGGCAUGGAGGCAAAUAAUCUUCAAAGCGAGAGCGAUUUCCAUCUCCCCACAUCCGCAUCCAACACCUGGGUUCUCUAGAUUCUUCUCCAAAGCAUCUCUUUAUGUAGAAAAGGUUGGCAUACCAGAGUUUUUAAAUGGAAUAGGGAAAGGGGUUGAGUCCCACGUGGCUAAGCUUGAAUCUGAGAUUGGUGACUUUCAGAAGCUGCUCGUCACUCGCACUCUCAAGCUCAAGAAACUUGGCAUUCCAUGCCAGCAGAGGAAGCUGAUAUUGAAAUAUGCCCACAAGUAUCGGCUGGGACUCUGGAGGCCUCGAGCUAAGCCUUUGAAAUCGUAAUUAGUUUCUUAGUAACUAGUCAUUUAAGGAUUUAAGAGCAAGAUUGUUGUCUACUGGAGAACAUGAUAGCUGGACAUUUACACAUGAAACUGUUUUUGUCUUGAAGAGUUUUAGCAUCUAAAUAGUGACUUCUGAACAGCGAAACAAAAAAUUGUUCUAGCUGAGCAGGAGGCCUUGUUAUGGAUUUGGAUUCCACCUUUCUGUUUGAAGCACAUAUGAUUGUAAUGUUAUCAACCGGUAAAUGUAAGCUAAAGAAUAUCAGCAGUCUUUUCUAAUAUUAUGUUGAAUCCAUGUUCUUCCCCCUAUAAGAGGGGAGGCACUCAUC
RNA transcript from Carya illinoinensis, 735 nucleotides. RefSeq lists it as uncharacterized. The transcript is spliced from 4 exons. NCBI's taxonomy places the organism in Eukaryota, Viridiplantae, Streptophyta, Magnoliopsida, Fagales, Juglandaceae. The record is from RefSeq and is a predicted model, not a curated record.